CAAAAGCGUAUAUUAAAGUUGUUGCAGUUAAAAAGCUCGUAGUUGAACCUUGGGCUUGGCUGGCCGGUCCAUCUUUUUUGAUGCGUACUGGACCCAGCCGAGCCUUUCCUUCUGGCUAGCCUUUUGGCGAACCAGGACUUUUACUUUGAAAAAAUUAGAGUGUUCAAAGCAGGCCUUUGCUCGAAUAUAUUAGCAUGGAAUAAUAGAAUAGGACGUUAUGGUUCUAUUUUGUUGGUUUCUAGGACCAUCGUAAUGAUUAAUAGGGACGGUCGGGGGUAUCAGUAUUCAGUUGUCAGAGGUGAAAUUCUUGGAUUUACUGAAGACUAACUACUGCGAAAGCACUUACCAAGGACGUUUUCAUUAA
This 364-nucleotide ribosomal RNA is filed under the name uncultured eukaryote. RNAcentral describes it as "partial 18S ribosomal RNA". It matches the Rfam family "Eukaryotic small subunit ribosomal RNA", at positions 592 to 976 of the family's 1831-position model. The record is from RNAcentral.